GCCGGAGCUUGCUCUGGUGGAUUAGUGGCGAACGGGUGAGUAACACGUGAGUAACCUGCCCCUGACUCUGGGAUAAGCGCUGGAAACGGCGUCUAAUACCGGAUAUGCGCUGUAACCGCAUGGUUUGCAGCGGGAAAGAUUUAUCGGUUGGGGAUGGACUCGCGGCCUAUCAGCUUGUUGGUGAGGUAAUGGCUCACCAAGGCGUCGACGGGUAGCCGGCCUGAGAGGGUGACCGGCCACACUGGGACUGAGACACGGCCCAGACUCCUACGGGAGGCAGCAGUGGGGAAUAUUGCACAAUGGGCGCAAGCCUGAUGCAGCAACGCCGCGUGAGGGAUGACGGCCUUCGGGUUGUAAACCUCUUUUAGCAGGGAAGAAGCCUUCGGGUGACGGUACCUGCAGAAAAAGCGCCGGCUAACUACGUGCCAGCAGCCGCGGUAAUACGUAGGGCGCAAGCGUUAUCCGGAAUUAUUGGGCGUAAAGAGCUCGUAGGCGGUUUGUCACGUCUGCUGUGAAAACUGGAGGCUCAACCUCCAGCCUGCAGUGGGUACGGGCAGACUAGAGUGCGGUAGGGGAGAUUGGAAUUCCUGGUGUAGCGGUGGAAUGCGCAGAUAUCAGGAGGAACACCGAUGGCGAAGGCAGAUCUCUGGGCCGUUACUGACGCUGAGGAGCGAAAGGGUGGGGAGCAAACAGGCUUAGAUACCCUGGUAGUCCACCCCGUAAACGUUGGGAACUAGUUGUGGGGGCUUUUCUACGGUCUCCGUGACGCAGCUAACGCAUUAAGUUCCCCG
This 791-nucleotide ribosomal RNA is filed under the name Microbacterium sp. RNAcentral's name for it is "bacterial SSU rRNA". It matches the Rfam family "Bacterial small subunit ribosomal RNA", at positions 72 to 871 of the family's 1533-position model. The record is from RNAcentral. Lineage: Bacteria; Bacillati; Actinomycetota; Actinomycetes; Micrococcales; Microbacteriaceae.